AGUGAACGCUGGCGGUAGGCCUAACACAUGCAAGUCGAACGGCAGCACAGUAAGAGCUUGCUCUUACGGGUGGCGAGUGGCGGACGGGUGAGGAAUACAUCGGAAUCUACUUUUUCGUGGGGGAUAACGUAGGGAAACUUACGCUAAUACCGCAUACGACCUACGGGUGAAAGCAGGGGAUCUUCGGACCUUGCGCGAUUGAAUGAGCCGAUGUCGGAUUAGCUAGUUGGCGGGGUAAAGGCCCGCCAAGGCGACGAUCCGAAGCUGGUCUGAGAGGAUGAUCAGACACACUGGAACUGAGACACGGUCCAGACUCCUACAGGAGGCAGCAGUGGGGAAUAUUGGGCAAUGGGCGCAAGCCUGAUCCAGCCAUACCGCGUGAGUGAAGAAGGCCUUCGGGUUGUAAAGCCCUUUUGUUGGGAAAGAAAAGCAGCAGGUUAAUACCCCGCUGUUCUGACGGUACCCAAAGAAUAAGCACCGGCUAACUUCGUG
Molecule: ribosomal RNA, 492 nt
Filed under: uncultured bacterium
Lineage: Bacteria
Description: partial 16S ribosomal RNA
Rfam family: Bacterial small subunit ribosomal RNA
Source: RNAcentral